Molecule: ribosomal RNA, 468 nt
Filed under: uncultured bacterium
Lineage: Bacteria
Description: partial 16S ribosomal RNA
Rfam family: Bacterial small subunit ribosomal RNA
Source: RNAcentral
GACGAACGCUGGCGGCGUGCUUAACACAUGCAAGUCGAACGGAAAGGCCCUGCUUUUGUGGGGUGCUCGAGUGGCGAACGGGUGAGUAACACGUGAGUAACCUGCCCUUGACUUUGGGAUAACUUCAGGAAACUGGGGCUAAUACCGGAUAGGAGCUCCUGCUGCACGGUGGGGGUUGGAAAGUUUCGGCUGUUGGGGAUGGACUCGCGGCUUAUCAGCUGGUUGGUGGGGUAGUGGCUUACCAAGGCUUUGACGGGUAGCCGGCCUGGGAGGGUGAACGGCGACAUGGGGACUGAGAGACGGCCCAGACUCCUACGGGAGGCAGUAGUGGGGAAUAUUGCACAAUGGGCGGAAGCCUGAUGCAGCAACGCCGCGUGCGGGAUGACGGCCUUCGGGUUGUAAACCGCUUUCGCCUGUGACGAAGCGUGAGUGACGGUAAUGGGUAAAGAAGCACCGGCUAACUACGUG